AAAGACCUGUCAAAUUUCAAGGUUCUGGAUGCUUCUGGAAAGAAAAAGAAUUAGAUUGUGGAAGGUGUAGGAGAGAGCGGAGGACUGCACAGCACUCACUACUAUGCCAUGACAAUCAGCAAAGCACAGAGUUGCCAGGAACAGCCCUGGGAAUAAUCACCUCCCACGCCAAAAGCUGGGGACAUGAUAAUUGGUGUCUGAUGACAGGAGAGGACAUUUUUAAGUAGUCACUUUCAACUUCAUAACAUAUAUGUCAUCUUUAACCAUGUGCAUGCUGCUUCAGCUCCUACAUUCAAGGGAAAAGGGGUGUUUAUGGAAGAUGGCCCAAUUACAAACAUAAAUUCACCAAAAUUUUGCCUUGGUUUAAAAAAAAAAAAUUACAACCCAGAAGAUCAGGU
RNAcentral lists this long non-coding RNA (398 nucleotides) under Vulpes vulpes (red fox). RNAcentral's name for it is "lncRNA (ENSVVUG00000019502.1)". The record is from RNAcentral. Lineage: Eukaryota; Metazoa; Chordata; Mammalia; Carnivora; Canidae.